ACUCCAGACUCCUACGGGAGGCAGCAGUGGGGGAUAUUGCACAAUGGGGGGAACCCUGAUGCAGCGACGCCGCGUGGGUGAAGAAGCGCCUCGGCGCGUAAAGCCCUGUCAGCAGGGAAGAAAAUGACGGUACCUGAAGAAGAAGCCCCGGCUAACUACGUGCCAGCAGCCGCGGUAAUACGUAGGUGGCAAGCGUUGUCCGGAUUUACUGGGUGUAAAGGGCGUGCAGCCGGGAAGACAAGUCAGAUGUGAAAUCCCGCGGCUCAACCGCGGAACUGCAUUUGAAACUGUUUUUCUUGAGUACCGGAGAGGUCAUCGGAAUUCCUUGCGUAGCGGUGAAAUGCGUAGAUAUAAGGAAGAACACCAGUGGCGAAGGCGGAUGACUGGACGGCAACUGACGGUGAGGCGCGAAAGCGUGGGGAGCAAACAGGAUUAGAUACCCGCUAC
This 447-nucleotide ribosomal RNA is filed under the name uncultured bacterium. RNAcentral's name for it is "bacterial SSU rRNA". It matches the Rfam family "Bacterial small subunit ribosomal RNA", at positions 328 to 793 of the family's 1533-position model. The record is from RNAcentral.